UAGUUGAAUUUCGGGAUCAAUUUAUUGGUCGUGCUAUUGUACGUACUGGUAUUAUUGAUUCCUACCUUCUGACGAACCAUGAUGUCAUUAAUUUGGUGUCUUGGGGAAUCAGGACUGUUACUUUGAAAAAAUUAGAGUGUUUAAAGCAGGCUCACGCUUGAAUACAUUAGCAUGGAAUAACGAAAUAGGACGUUUGAUUCUAUUUUGUUGGUUUCUAGGAUCGACGUAAUGAUUAAUAGGGAUAGUUGGGGGCAUUAGUAUUCAAUUGUCAGAGGUGAAAUUCUUGGAUUUAUUGAAGACUAACUACUGCGAAAGCAUUUGCCAAGGAUGUUUUCAUUAAUCAAGAACGAAAGUUAGGGGAUCGAAGACGAUCAGAUACCGUCGUAGUCUUAACCAU
This 397-nucleotide ribosomal RNA is filed under the name uncultured Glomus. RNAcentral's name for it is "SSU rRNA". It matches the Rfam family "Eukaryotic small subunit ribosomal RNA", at positions 631 to 1033 of the family's 1831-position model. The record is from RNAcentral. Lineage: Eukaryota; Fungi; Glomeromycota; Glomeromycetes; Glomerales; Glomeraceae.